AUGGAGGCCUCCGUGCUACCAAGUUGUUUCCAAUGAUGCAACUUCCAAAUCGACGAUUGGUUCUGUUAGACUUGAUCUAUACUAUUGAAAAUAUUUGAAAACUAAAUUUCAUAAGUUUUCGGUAUCAUUUACCUAUCAAAUGAGUAGUAUAAAAAUGAAUUGCCGAAAAUAAAAAUCUCAUAAAAAAUGAUGAUAAAAGGUUUGAAUUUAAGAUCAGAGGUGCUAAUCUUACAAUAAAUAUUAUAUAAAAAUUUCAUCAGAUUUGGAUUGUUUUAAACCGUUAAAUUGACAAACACAUCACAUCUACCAUUAAAAUUGUCAAUUUUAAGACCUUUUGAUCACUAGCCAAAUAAUGCCGAAAAAUUACGAAAUUUAGUUUCCAAAUACUUUUAAUAGUGUAAAUCAAGUCUAACAGAGCCGAUCAUAGAUUUGGAUGCCGCAUCAUUGGAAACGACUUAGUAGCACGGAAGCCUCUGUGCUACCGAUAGUAUACCAGCCUAGCUUUAUUUAUACACACGGAGACUAUUUCUAAAUCAUUUCUUGCCGAUUUGAUGAAUCGCACAUGUAUUUCUCUUA
This 576-nucleotide long non-coding RNA is filed under the name Ananas comosus (pineapple). RNAcentral describes it as "long non-coding RNA (ACOM_LNC000117)". Lineage: Eukaryota; Viridiplantae; Streptophyta; Magnoliopsida; Poales; Bromeliaceae. The record is from RNAcentral.